Molecule: transfer RNA, 73 nt
Filed under: Cordylochernes scorpioides
Lineage: Eukaryota; Metazoa; Arthropoda; Arachnida; Pseudoscorpiones; Chernetidae
Description: tRNA-Gly
Rfam family: tRNA
About the family: Transfer RNA (tRNA) molecules are approximately 80 nucleotides in length. Their secondary structure includes four short double-helical elements and three loops (D, anti-codon, and T loops). Further hydrogen bonds mediate the characteristic L-shaped molecular structure. tRNAs have two regions of fundamental functional importance: the anti-codon, which is responsible for specific mRNA codon recognition, and the 3' end, to which the tRNAs corresponding amino acid is attached (by aminoacyl-tRNA synthetases). tRNAs cope with the degeneracy of the genetic code in two manners: having more than one tRNA (with a specific anti-codon) for a particular amino acid; and 'wobble' base-pairing, i.e. permitting non-standard base-pairing at the 3rd anti-codon position.
Source: RNAcentral
GCAUCUGUGGUUCAGUAGUAAAAUGCUCGCCUGCCACGCGCGGGCGGCCCGGGUUCGAUUCCCGGCCGAUGCA